RNAcentral lists this long non-coding RNA (841 nucleotides) under Cicer arietinum (chickpea). RNAcentral's name for it is "long non-coding RNA (CARI_LNC001878)". The record is from RNAcentral. Lineage: Eukaryota; Viridiplantae; Streptophyta; Magnoliopsida; Fabales; Fabaceae.
CUCUGCUUUUUAUCGUUAAUGCUAAAUUAUAUUUUAUUCUCAUACAAUACAUAUUGAAAAUAAUACAAUAAGCAAAAUUGGCUUAAAUUUUCAUGACAAAAGUUGUAAACAACUUGUUGAUUGGAGUAAUAGGGGGAUAAGACACCUUUGUUAACAAAUAAUAUUAUCUAACAACCUUAUCAUAAAGAUCUAAAAGAAGGAUACAGUUUCAAUUUGAUCUUUAAAUUUAAAUAUGUGAUCUCAAAUUAUUGCAUAAAGAAAUUACGUGUCUAAGGUUUUAAGAAAAAUAGUCACCACAUCGACCUAUUACUAGUAUAAGAUGAAUGAAAAAUUGAGAUUUUCGAUCUGUCGUUCCUCAUUCUUAAGUUUUUUUGCUAGGAUUUUGUAUUUAACGUCGGUAAAAAAUAGUCUGACUUUUAUUAACAAAAAGAAACUUCAGACUCAAAAAAAUAUUUCUAUUUUGAUUUCUUAAUGUGUACUGUAUUUGUCUUUUUUUAUAAGUAAAGUUUAUUUUCUUCUGAUUAUUAUCAAAUGCGAACUGAAAAAUUAAGUAAACUAUGAUACAUAGCUGCGGACAUUUCCGUGUUUAUUGCCAUACACAACGCGUACGACAAACGGCAUAUAAUACUCCCUGUACUUAAAAAAAUAUGGUGUUCAUUAUAUAUAUAUAUACCUAAAAUAAUUUUUGGAUUUGUAUAUAUUCACUUCAUUUCUAAUUAUAAGUAUUUAAAAAAAUUUAUCUUUCAAUAAGUUUUUGUGCAAAUUAUUAUUUUUAUUUAUGAUUUUUUUUAAAACUUACACUUAUAAAUACUAAUAUUUUAUUUUGAAAUGCAAAAAGUUG